Molecule: unclassified non-coding RNA, 673 nt
Filed under: Hevea brasiliensis (rubber tree)
Lineage: Eukaryota; Viridiplantae; Streptophyta; Magnoliopsida; Malpighiales; Euphorbiaceae
Source: RNAcentral
AGAUGCACCUAUAUUCCAGGUGAUCUCUCUCUUUCUCUCUCUCUCUGUGUACUGUCUCUCUUUCUACUUUUAAUUACUUGAGAUCUGCGUGUAUCCUUUUCUUCUUAUGAUGCUAUUGAUUUUUCUGUUUUGUCCUUUGUUUGGAUCUAUAAUGGUCCAAGCAUUUUCCAGUAACUUUUAUGUCUAUUUUUUAAUUUUAUUUUAUAGUUUAAUAAAGUUCUAUUAUUUUGAUUCCCUCUAUCUCAGAAAUGGCUAAACCUUAAUUUACUUAGCUUUCACUUCUUUUUAGAUCUUAAACAAUUUUAGAUUGUGAUUUUUCACUUCAGAGAGAUAUUGGCUUCUCUCUCUCUCUCUCUUUUAAUUGAAGAAAGAAAACCUAUUUGUGUUGGAUUGAAGAGAGUAUGUAUAUGGGUUUUGAACUUUUAAUGUUGUUGUUGAAAGUUGGAAUUGGAUUCUUCUGCUUUGGAUUUCGCGGUUUUCAACUGGUUUCAGGUGUUUUUUAGCUGGAUUUAUUGUGUGGGUUUAUGAGAAAUAGAUUUUUGGGAUUCCAUGUGACAUUUGCUUGCUGGGAUCCGGAUUAUGUGAGCCAACUUUAGUUUUGCUUAUUAAAAUCAUAAUCCAAAUUUGAAUGUAUGUUUCUUCAUGCCUUUAAUUUCACUGAAAAUUUAAAUUA